This 718-nucleotide long non-coding RNA is filed under the name Homo sapiens (human). RNAcentral describes it as "HSALNT0146513". Lineage: Eukaryota; Metazoa; Chordata; Mammalia; Primates; Hominidae. The record is from RNAcentral.
GGAAAUUCCUUUUCCAGAGUUCUCACUUACUAAUUUGGCUAACAUUACCAAUGGUAACAGACCCCACGUAUCCGCCACAAUUGCUGUGAGUUGCAGAGGAAAAAGACUGGGAGGAAAUCUUCACUUUUCUUCUGCAACAGCAACCAACAGAAAUGAAAGAGCCAGGGGAUUUUGCAAAAUAUCAACUCCUGAGAACUAAGAAUGAGAGCCUUUCCUGCCAAGCCCAUUCUGUGCCAGUCAUCAUAAAAUACGAUGACCCUUCCUUCCAGAAGAACAAUGCGCUGUGAUCUUUGGCUACUCAAGCUUUACAUCAUCCAUAUUACCCUGCAGCAGGAACAGAUUGAUGGGUAUUUUCACUGCCCCCAGAGAGUUACCCUCUAAUCCUUCAUUUGCUGCUCCAGCACAAUUGCACGGAAGCAAUAGCAGGGAUAGUUAGAGUGCAUACAAUUGAUUCCAAUCCAUCCAUCACUUAAACUACUGUCUAGGACAUCAGGAGGCCACGGGAUUCUAUAGCACAUCCUUGAAUUGUGUUUAUCCAAUCCACAUUUCUCUUCUGCUGGACAUUCAGAGGACUGUUUCUCACUAAUAUCAGGAGAAAUCUGUCUUGGUGUUGGAGCCUCUUGGAAUUCGUGACAAGGAAAAAAGUACACCAAGUAAACUAGUAAAACAAAAGUGAGAAGGCCCUUGACAGAUGUGAGCCCCUUGACCUUGGACUUCC